This is a long non-coding RNA of Ornithodoros turicata, 670 nucleotides long. RefSeq lists it as uncharacterized. The transcript has 3 exons. The record is from RefSeq and is a predicted model, not a curated record. NCBI's taxonomy places the organism in Eukaryota, Metazoa, Arthropoda, Arachnida, Ixodida, Argasidae.
GAAAAUUUCAGCAGCGAAGGUACUCAUCCCCGGGCCUUUGCAGAGCACGUCGUGCGGAAGUAUCAACCGGCAUGGGUGGAAAUUAACGCCGCAAGUCCACGACACGCAAUGCUGCAAUCACCAACACAUGACAGCGGUGCAGAGGUCACCUCCUUUCCACGCUACGCCUCACCCUGCCUGACACGCUAAUGUCAAUGAAUCUUGAGAAGCAGAAGCGGAUGAAGCGUGGCGCGAAGGGAACGCCCUCGUGUCGUCACACUGACGUCGUGCAUGCGUCUCUCUGCGCGGGAAUUUCAAACCAGGAAGGAAGCCGACCUUCCAUGCUUGCUGAAAGCGGAGCGCAUAAAAGACAUCGCCGGCAUCAAAGGAAAUUUUUGGGACGCAGCACCGGCGGAACGAAGGAACAAGAGCGGGCCAUUAAAUCACGCCAGUCUCGGAACAAAUCACUUUCCCGGCGGUUUUCCCAAGAACCUUGCGGCGUUUAUUUUUUGUGGGGCAAAAAGAAGAAGAAAAAAAAAAAAGUUCUCGAGGAAGGUACCCAGUGAACCGUUGUUUGCGCCAGCUUGCUCAUAAAAUCGUCUAUCGAACAGCGUAAUUACUGGCUCAGUUUAUCGCCAGAAGCUUGUAUAAAUUAUGCAAAGAGAAAACAUAAUAAUACGAGUAAUAUGCA